This 1177-nucleotide ribosomal RNA is filed under the name Lissachatina fulica (giant African snail). Its description in RNAcentral is "SSU rRNA". It matches the Rfam family "Eukaryotic small subunit ribosomal RNA", at positions 35 to 1180 of the family's 1831-position model. Lineage: Eukaryota; Metazoa; Mollusca; Gastropoda; Stylommatophora; Achatinidae. The record is from RNAcentral.
UCUCAAAGAUUAAGCCAUGCAUGUCUAAGUUCACACUGUCUCACGGUGAAACCGCGAAUGGCUCAUUAAAUCAGUCGAGGUUCCUUAGAUGACACGAUCCUACUUGGAUAACUGUGGCAAUUCUAGAGCUAAUACAUGCUUACCAAGCUCCGACCCUCGUGGAAAGAGCGCUUUUAUUAGUUCAAAACCAAUCGUCGUUGCCCUUCGCGGGGCGCGGCGUCCCAACUGGUGACUCUGGAUAACUUUGUGCUGAUCGCAUGGCCUUCUGUGCCGGCGACGCAUCUUUCAAAUGUCUGCCCUAUCAAAUGUCGAUGGUACGUGACAUGCCUACCAUGUUUGUAACGGGUAACGGGGAAUCAGGGUUCGAUUCCGGAGAGGGAGCAUGAGAAACGGCUACCACAUCCAAGGAAGGCAGCAGGCGCGCAACUUACCCACUCCCGGCACGGGGAGGUAGUGACGAAAAAUAACAAUACGGGACUCUUUCGAGGCCCCGUAAUUGGAAUGAGUACACUUUAAACCCUUUAACGAGGAUCUAUUGGAGGGCAAGUCUGGUGCCAGCAGCCGCGGUAAUUCCAGCUCCAAUAGCGUAUAUUAAAGUUGUUGCAGUUAAAAAGCUCGUAGUUGGAUCUCAGGCGCAGGCGGGCGGUCCGGCUCGCGCCGGUUCACUGCCCGUUGUCUCCUGCCCUACCGUCUGCCGGCUCUCUCCCGCGGGUGCUCUUCGCUGAGCGUCCCGGGUGGCCGGCGCGUUUACUUUGAAAAAAUUAGAGUGUUCAAAGCAGGCCCCAGCUGCCUGAAUAAUGGUGCAUGGAAUAAUGGAAUAGGACCUCGGUUCUAUUUUGUUGGUUUUCGGAACUGGAGGUAAUGAUUAACAGGGACAAACGGGGGCAUUCGUAUUGCGGCGUUAGAGGUGAAAUUCUUGGAUCGCCGCAAGACGAGCUACUGCGAAAGCAUUUGUCAAGAAUGUUUUCAUUAAUCAAGAACGAAAGUCAGAGGCGCGAAGACGAUCAGAUACCGUCGUAGUUCUGACCAUAAACGAUGCCGACUAGCGAUCCGCAGGAGUUGCUUCGAUGACUCUGCGGGCAGCUUCCGGGAAACCAAAGUUUUUGGGUUCCGGGGGAAGUAUGGUUGCAAAGCUGAAACUUAAAGGAAUUGACGGAAGGGCACCACCAGGAGUGGA